GGUAGACGUGUAAAAACAUGCAUAUAUAUAUUAUAUAAAAAACAAUAUGUGAAUACUAUAUAAGAAAAAUGCAUAUAUGAACAUAGAGAUGAUGAUAGUAAUAAUGAUAAUAUAUAAAAUAUAAUUAAAUAAAAAAAUAGUUCAAAAAGAAAAAGUGGAUUAAAUUGAACAAAAGACGAAAAAUCGGGGAUAAAUUCGAAAUAAAUAAAAGGACCCAAUUGAAUGCGCAGGAAACAAUGGAGGACCAAAAGGGGAAUUAAUCCCUCCCUCCUACAUGUUGCGCAGCACUGGAUUAAAUCGUCACGCGGGUAAAAUAUUUGGGCCAAAUUUUAAAGAGGAAAAAGAACUUGAUUAAAACGCGUCACAAAAGGAGGAGGGCUAAUUGCGCAAUUUUCCCAUUUAAGGUGGAUAUGCGCAGACCUUUACCCCCCAAACUAAAUGGCUCAGCUUUAAAUCAUUCUGUUUCUUUUUUUCUAAAAGAAAAGCAGUGGCUCUGCUAAGGUUCUUUUAACCCAUUCCGCGCCAUCGUCCAUCUGCCCCUUCACCAAAGCUCCGACGACGGCGGAGAUGGUGGUGGCGCGGCGACCUCGACGAACUGGUAAGUGCUUUUCCCUUCUUUUCUUUGUUGUUUUAGGUAAAAAUGAAAUGAAAAAAUAAAGGAAAAUAAAAAGAAAUAUAUAAACAAAAAGAAUAGUGAAUACUACAAAGUAAAAAAACCUUUGAAAAAACAAAUUUCCCUUGUAUUUCUCCGUAUUUUUCCUUCUAUUUUCGUAUCUCCUUUUACUGAAUCCCCCCUAUUUUACAAAAUCAAACGGCUUUAUAUAGCCUAAAACUUAUUUGUUUUACACUAUAUUUUCGCUAAUGGACUCUCUGAGUCCGUGUUUGCAGGUGCGUGGAGAGUUUGGCAUGCGUGGAGGCCGAAACUUGCGACGUCCGGAUGCUGCUGGAGGCGCUGAAGGCGGGGGGAGCUGCGGCGGCUACUGGCAAAUGCUGCUAGGGUUCUCUUUUUUUGGGGGGGUUAAGGCUAGGGUUUAAUUUGGGCUUUGUAAAAAUUGGGCUGUGUCCCAUUAUUUAUUCCACACGGGCCUGGGCCAAUUUGGGCCUACUACAUGAUCAAUACAAAGAAAUCGAAAAAAAGGAAAAGAUCAGUUUUUUUGGAAGGUGGUUCUCUUUUCUUUUUCUUUCUCUGCGUUUCAUUACUGUUUUCUUUGAUUCUUUCUAUUUCCUAUACGAAAAGAGGGGAGAAAAGGGGGGACCUUACCUUGUCGUCGGCGCCGAUGAAGUCCUUUUCCCUUUCGCAUGAAUCGGGGUCGGAUGGACGGAGGCUUGGUUCCUGAAACAGCUAAGGGAGGGCUUAGUUUUUUUUUUAAACUGCCGAAAGUGCUUAGAAUGCGGCCAGUUUAGGGUUUUGUCUUGGCCUUCAUAUGACGCACGAAACGGCACCGUUUGGAGUCUGAUCAGUGGCUCCAAAACGGUGCCGUAUUGACCAUUGCCCAGCAGCCCGAUGAUCCGAUCCAACCGUGGCUAGAUCCGCGCGUUUUGGUAUGGGGAGGGAUAUUUUCACGCCAAGCCCUUCUUGUUUUGCGCUGUGUUUCAAUUCGAUCCCUUAAAUUUCUUUAAUUUUGGACAGCAUAAUUUGUCGUUGGUUUCAUUUUGGUCCAUGCUGAACGCAGCGUUUUGGAGCUAAGGAUAUUUUCCUCUUUAGCCCCCAUGUUAUUCGCGCGUGCCCUUUUUGGUCCUCAAUUCUGCUUUAUUUUCAUUUUUUUCCUUCUUAUUUCGAAUUUAAUACAAUUUCGUCCAAUAAAAUCAAACUUUCUUUCUUAUUUAAGUUUAAUAUAUAUUUUUAUUUCAUUAUCAAUACUAU
Molecule: long non-coding RNA, 1864 nt
Filed under: Gossypium raimondii (Peruvian cotton)
Lineage: Eukaryota; Viridiplantae; Streptophyta; Magnoliopsida; Malvales; Malvaceae
Description: long non-coding RNA (GRAI_LNC010400)
Source: RNAcentral